RNAcentral lists this ribosomal RNA (614 nucleotides) under Penicillium sp. JCM 28173. RNAcentral's name for it is "eukaryotic LSU rRNA". It matches the Rfam family "Eukaryotic large subunit ribosomal RNA", at positions 38 to 667 of the family's 3401-position model. The record is from RNAcentral. RNAcentral also lists the same sequence under 1 other name. Lineage: Eukaryota; Fungi; Ascomycota; Eurotiomycetes; Eurotiales; Aspergillaceae.
GCAUAUCAAUAAGCGGAGGAAAAGAAACCAACAGGGAUUGCCUCAGUAACGGCGAGUGAAGCGGCAAGAGCUCAAAUUUGAAAGCUGGCUCCUUCGGGGUCCGCAUUGUAAUUUGCAGAGGAUGCUUCGGGAGUGGCCCCCAUCUAAGUGCCCUGGAACGGGCCGUCAUAGAGGGUGAGAAUCCCGUCUGGGAUGGGGUGUCCACGCCCGUGUGAAGCUCCUUCGACGAGUCGAGUUGUUUGGGAAUGCAGCUCUAAAUGGGUGGUAAAUUUCAUCUAAAGCUAAAUACUGGCCGGAGACCGAUAGCGCACAAGUAGAGUGAUCGAAAGAUGAAAAGCACUUUGAAAAGAGAGUUAAACAGCACGUGAAAUUGUUGAAAGGGAAGCGCUUGCGACCAGACUCGCCCACGGGGUUCAGCCGGCAUUCGUGCCGGUGUACUUCCCCGCGGGCGGGCCAGCGUCGGUUUGGGCGGCCGGUCAAAGGCCCUCGGAAUGUAACGCCCCCCGGGGCGUCUUAUAGCCGAGGGUGCCAUGCGGCCAGCCCGGACCGAGGAACGCGCUUCGGCUCGGACGCUGGCAUAAUGGUCGUAAGCGACCCGUCUUGAAACACGGACC